UCACCGUAUCAAGCUUGGCUUGUGGUUGGGCCCUGUCACCUGGUGACCGGUCCGAAAGACAAUGACCGGUGUCAUGUCGACUCUAUAUGCAACGAGCUGAUCACAGCACGCAUCUGGCAGUCGCGCGGCCCGGUCUGCACCCCCUUUUUUCUCAA
This 155-nucleotide unclassified non-coding RNA is filed under the name uncultured Chaetothyriales. Its description in RNAcentral is "sequence contains ITS2". The record is from RNAcentral. Lineage: Eukaryota; Fungi; Ascomycota; Eurotiomycetes; Chaetothyriales.